This 2827-nucleotide long non-coding RNA is filed under the name Felis catus (domestic cat). RNAcentral's name for it is "lncRNA (ENSFCAG00000050536.1)". The record is from RNAcentral. Lineage: Eukaryota; Metazoa; Chordata; Mammalia; Carnivora; Felidae.
UUUCUUCUGCCCGGCAAACACCUCCUCGGUGGUGGGAAACAAGUGUCCAGCUGGCCAUUACUGCCCUGCUUCCACAUCCUUUGCUUCUCAAUUCCCCUGCCCCAGAGGCACCUACAAGCCACAGAGAGGGGGUGCCCAGCAGUCAGACUGCACACCCUGUGAACCAGGUAAGGGGACAGGUACAUAUCCCCAAUCCUACCAUGUUAGGCCACAUCUUCCCUGACCAGUGAGGGCAGGACUCAGGCCUGUCUCAGAUGGGGAUGCUUUGGCCAUAGCCCAUGGUGCACACUAGGUCAGCCCACAUUCGCUGGCUGGGGUGGAGGUACCCCAAUCCCUCUGCUCCCCAUGCCUGAGCGUCCUGUCUUCCCCUCUCUCCUACAGGUUCCUACUGCCUCCUACCUGGGCUAGUGGCUGUGUCUGGGCCUUGUAGUGCAGGGUUCCACUGUACUCAGGCAGCAGCUGUCCCAAAUCCCACUGAUGGGAUCACAGGAGACCUCUGUCCAUCGGGCCACUUUUGUCCCAAGGGUAGCCCCAAGCCCACUCCAUGCCCCCCAGGUUCUGUUCCUUUGGGAUUCAGAGGCCAGGCGCCAGGCCUAUUUGGCCAAUGGACUGUCCUGCUGGCUACUAUUGCCCUUUGGGUACCUGGACCCCCACCCAGCACCCAUGUCCAAGGGGAACCUUCCGAGAGUGGCCUGGUGCACGCAGUGCUACGGAUUGUAGACCUUGUCCUGCAGGACAAUUCUGUUCAGAUUCAGGAUCCGGGAAACCCUUCCCAGAUGGGCCAUGCUCAGCAGGUUAUUACUGUCCUCCUGGCCAGACCUCAGCCACCCCUACAUCUUUCCGGUGUCCCCGUGGCUUCUACUGUCCAGAGGGAUCUCCCCAGCCAAGGGCCUGUGAGAAUGGAACAUUCCAGCCCCAGGAGGCCAAGGGGUCUUGUGAGCCCUGCCCUGCAGGAUUCUACUGUGAAGCAUCAGGCACAGGUCUCACAGCCGGUGGCCCCAGCCUGUGCCUCCAGGGCUACUUCUGUCCCCCUGGCUCCCACUCAGCCACUGCCCACCCAUGCCCUCGGGGGACAUUCGGGCCCAGGCGAGGGGCCAGUGCAGAACUGGACUGUGAGCUGUGCCCAGCAGGGAUGUUCUGCUCAUCAGAAGGGCUGUCCCAGCCAUCAGGGCUCUGCCACUCAGCCCACUACUGCACAGGAGGUGCGGUGUCUCCCACCCCCCUCAAACACAAGGUAUAUCUGCCUGGGAGGCAGUGCUGUGCCCUCACCUUCUGAUGGAACCCACGGAUACAGAUGUCCUCCUGGCUUCCACUGUCCCUCAGGGGCUCACAGCGAGCAGCCCUGUGAACCUGGCACCUUCAGCCCAUUGCCUGGGGCUGACACCUGCCUGCCUUGCCCAGGAGGCACCUACUGCCAAAAUGUUGCUACCGUGGAGCCCACCACCUGCCCCAAAGGUCACUAUUGCCCAGGAGGGACACCCUCUGCUCUUCCCUGCCCGGAGGGAACCCUGAACCUACGGGAAGGUGCUCUCUCCCCCAGGGCCUGUCAGCCCUGUCCUGCAGGAAGAUACUGCCCUGGUGAGGGCAACGGGCAGACUGAGGAUCGCUCAGCCAGUCACUACCCUGUGUACCAGAUGCAGCAUUUGUUCAACAGCAACCCCAACUGGGACUUUGGGGCCUUCAGGAGACUCAGCCACCUCGUGCGAGAGACUCACCUCAACUUUUCAAGGUUUGCCCACCAGUUCCUAGAUCCAGGCACAUAUGUGUUUCGAGACAACAGACUGCCUGAGAGCAUCAUUGUGGUGCUGGUGAAGAAGAAAGGAGUGGCCUGCGAUCCCGGCCUAUCCCCUGUGCAGCCCUCCUCCCCGUAUCAGCUUGUCAGGCAUGGGGUCCUCAGGCACGAGCUGCUAAACCUGGGCCCAGACUGGACAGUGAUCACAGGAGAACCACUCCCCUUGAAGACCCUGGAGGACUUCAGUGUCCGCACUCUCUAUGACAAGCUCGAGGACCAGAGCCUACACGUGGCCGCCCAGCUGAGCAAACACAGGAGCGAGGCACUGGCCUUCUAUAGGGGUGCCAGCCAGCAGCUCCAGGGGCUCAAGGACUUUCUCCAACACCUCAGCACAACUGAGUGGCAAGCUCUGGACAAGGGUGGAGACCCAGAGAUGGAGGCCACAGCUGCCACCAGGACAGACACUGAGCAGAGUGUGGAAUCAUGGGGCCACCACACUGCAAGUCUACCUAGGGAGCCCUGGCAGCAUCCUCUAGCUCUCAGCAGGACCUGGGACCUGGACAGCUUCCCCAGUGUGCUGCCAAAGGAGGAGGCACCGAGAGCCCAGGCUCUAGGUUGUGGAUCAUUGGGGCUGGACACAGGCAUGGAGCCUUUCCUGAGAUGCAGAGGAAGAUAUGGCAGGUGGAAAACACUUUGGAUGAACUGAAUGAGGAGUUCUUCCAGCUCACUGCUCAAGCCCUAGAACUUCAGAAGGAAAAGGACAAACCAGGUCAACUUCCCCCAAGUGAAGGCAAUACAUUUGUGGUAAGCCCAGCAGACUACCACCUCAGCUCCUGAGAUGUCCACAGAUAGCUGGGUCUCACGUGUGGGGCCCACAGAGUCACAGGACCCCAUAGAAAGGGUUGGGACCAGAAAGUCCACCAACCAAAGUUUGGUUUUGCCUGUUUGGUUUAGCACAUACUUCUAGAGACAGGGAGGACCUCUCAAUCAGCUUGGGCUUGCAGGUCUCUAAGUAAAUUGAUGGCUCGGAAAGACUGAGGAAGAGUAUGAAAAGGGAGCAAUAAAAAUAGCUGUUUAGAUGUAGCUAACUAGUAG